UGCCCUUAUUUUAAGUUAAGAAAUAAUGAUUAACUUAUGAAGAAAUUAUCUGGGGACAAGAAUGGGAUUCCUUCCCUUGUUCGUUGUUGUUUUGUUUUCCGGUCCUCUGAUCCCAUCUUCCUGCCCCACGACGUGAGCAGCUACUCCUAAUUUUCCUCUUCUUCAUUUAAUGAUAUAACUUUCAACUCUGUGAAUAACUUAUAGUUGAUAGUGAUGACUCCUGAUUCCCAAAAUACCAUCUGAUAACCAAGAAUGGAGAUGGAAGGUCGGACAGAGGAGUGCACAGGACCACUGCUGUGACUCCCGCGCAUCCUUAGGAAGGAAAGGCUCCGCAUGGGGGAUGGUGGUGUCUGUGUCGUUUCUUCUGGACACCAGUUGGAGAGCUUAUUCCGGAAUGUGCUUUCCUCCCUCUUUCCUACCCUCAAGCUCAAUAAAUAUGGUUGUACUUUUCUUAUUAUAAAAUAAAUGUCUGUAACUGCUGUACACUGCUGUAACCUUGUUAGAGAAA
This 508-nucleotide long non-coding RNA is filed under the name Androctonus crassicauda. Lineage: Eukaryota; Metazoa; Arthropoda; Arachnida; Scorpiones; Buthidae. The record is from RNAcentral.